RNAcentral lists this ribosomal RNA (253 nucleotides) under uncultured bacterium. RNAcentral describes it as "partial 16S ribosomal RNA". It matches the Rfam family "Bacterial small subunit ribosomal RNA", at positions 524 to 776 of the family's 1533-position model. The record is from RNAcentral.
UACAGAGGGGGCAAGCGUUGUUCGGAAUUACUGGGCGUAAAGGGCGCGUAGGCGGCCUUCUAAGUCAGACGUGAAAUCCCUCGGCUCAACCGGGGAACUGCGUCUGAGACUGAAAGGCUUGAAUCCGGGAGAGGAAUGCGGAAUUCCAGGUGUAGCGGUGAAAUGCGUAGAUAUCUGGAGGAACACCGGUGGCGAAGGCAGCUCGCUGGGACGUUACUGACGCUGAGACGCGAAAGCGUGGGGAGCAAACAGG